RNAcentral lists this ribosomal RNA (1080 nucleotides) under Candidatus Tayloriibacteriota bacterium. RNAcentral describes it as "bacterial SSU rRNA". The stretch from base 201 to 1023 matches the Rfam family "Bacterial small subunit ribosomal RNA". Lineage: Bacteria; Candidatus Tayloriibacteriota. The record is from RNAcentral.
AAUGUGGUAACACUGCUAAAUGGGUACCUAUACAAUGGCACUCCGCCUCCGGUAUCGGACAGCGCCCGUAAGAUCGGGUCCGAUAGCAUUGUAUUCUAGAUGGUGAGCCUAAAAGCGACCAUAUCCACUUAAAGUCGAGGUACGCAUUCCAUGCGCGCCUCGACCUCACUUCUCAAUAUAUAAGAACCCUCAGAGACUAUACGCCGAACAAGUAAUUAAUUACUUGAAGAUAUAGUCCGAACUUCAUGGCGACAUGAAGAGGUAAGUAGAAAUACCUUGCCUUACAAGAAAUUGUAAAUAACAAAAUUGUAGAUACCCCAGUAGUCCACGCCCUAAACAAUGAUCUCUCGCUUUGAGGAGUAUCGACCCUCUUCGAGGCUUAGCUAACGCGAUAAGAGAUCCGCCUGGGUAGUACGGCCGCAAGGUUGAAACUCAAAGGAAUAGACGGGGACUUGCACAAGCGGUGGAACAUGUGGUUCAAUUCGACGCUAAACGAAGAACCUUACCAGGGUUAGAAAUCCAGACGAAUGCCCGCAGAAACGUGGGCAGCCGAAAGGCGGCUGGACAGGUGCUGCAUGGCUGUCGUCAGUUCGUGGUUUGAACUGUUCCCUUCAGUGGGGUAACGAACGCAACCCCUGUUGCCUGUUACAAGUGUCAGGCGAGACCGCCCAGCCCUCAAUAUGUGAGGGAAGGAGGUCGGACAGGAAUGAUGAUAGUUAGUUUUAAGUUUGAUUUCCGAUCUUUUUCAGAGCCUCAUAUGGUGAGGGCUGGGAGGAAGGUGGGGAUGACGCCAAGUCAGCAUGGCCCUCUGACACCCUGGGCUACACACGUGUUACAAUGCGCGGUACAACGGGACGCAAUGCCGUAAGGCGGAGCAAACCCUUAGAAAACCGCGCUCAGUUCGGAUUGAGGUCUGCAACUCGACCUCAUGAAGCCGGAAUCGCUAGUAAUCGCAGGUCAGCUAUACUGCGGUGAAUACGUUCUCAAGUCUUGUACUCGGGUCGCCAUGCGAUCGAGUACGCUAGUUGGUGCAAAUCCAACCAAAGCGAUCAACAGCGCUUUGAAGCGAAAUCACAGUCU